RNAcentral lists this ribosomal RNA (465 nucleotides) under Vreelandella stevensii. RNAcentral's name for it is "partial 16S ribosomal RNA". It matches the Rfam family "Bacterial small subunit ribosomal RNA", at positions 338 to 795 of the family's 1533-position model. Lineage: Bacteria; Pseudomonadati; Pseudomonadota; Gammaproteobacteria; Oceanospirillales; Halomonadaceae. The record is from RNAcentral.
UCUACGGGGGGCUGCAGUGGGGAAUAUUGGACAAUGGGCGAAAGCCUGAUCCAGCCAUGCCGCGUGUGUGAAGAAGGCCUUCGGGUUGUAAAGCACUUUCAGUGGGGAAGAAAGCCUUGGGGCUAAUACCCUCGAGGAAGGACAUCACCCACAGAAGAAGCACCGGCUAACUCCGUGCCAGCAGCCGCGGUAAUACGGAGGGUGCGAGCGUUAAUCGGAAUUACUGGGCGUAAAGCGCGCGUAGGCGGUCUGAUAAGCCGGUUGUGAAAGCCCCGGGCUCAACCUGGGAACGGCAUCCGGAACUGUCAGGCUAGAGUGCAGGAGAGGAAGGUAGAAUUCCCCGUGUAGCGGUGAAAUGCGUAGAGAUCGGGAGGAAUACCAGUGGCGAAGGCAGCCUUCUGGACUGACACUGACGCUGAGGUGCGAAAGCGUGGGUAGCAAACAGGAUUAGAUACCCUGGUAGUC